ACGGGAGGCAGCAGUGGGGAAUAUUGCGCAAUGGGCGGAAGCCUGACGCAGCGACGCCGCGUGGGGGAUGACGGCCUUCGGGUUGUAAACCUCUUUCGCCAGGGACGAAGCUUUUGUGACGGUACCUGGAGAAGAAGCACCGGCCAACUACGUGCCAGCAGCCGCGGUAACACGUAGGGUGCGAGCGUUGUCCGGAAUUAUUGGGCGUAAAGAGCUCGUAGGCGGUGUGUCGCGUCGGCCGUGAAAACUUGGGGCUUAACUCUGAGCGUGCGGUCGAUACGGGCAUCACUUGAGUUCGGCAGGGGAGACUGGAAUUCCUGGUGUAGCGGUGAAAUGCGCAGAUAUCAGGAGGAACACCGGUGGCGAAGGCGGGUCUCUGGGCCGAUACUGACGCUGAGGAGCGAAAGCGUGGGGAGCGAACAGGAUUAGAUACCCUGGUAGUCCACGCCGUAAACGUUGGGCGCUAGGUGUGGGGACCAUUCCACGGUUUCUGUGCCGCAGCUAACGCAUUAAGCGCCCCGCCUGGGGAGUACGGCCGCAAGGCUAAAACUCAAAGGAAUUGAC
Molecule: ribosomal RNA, 564 nt
Filed under: uncultured bacterium
Lineage: Bacteria
Description: bacterial SSU rRNA
Rfam family: Bacterial small subunit ribosomal RNA
Source: RNAcentral